UUUUUUUUUUUUUUCUUGGCACAUAGCUAUUUUGAAGAAAAUUGACUAUAUUACACUUUCUAUUUUUUAGUUUCAGUAUGUAAUUACCAAUGUUAAAGACAGAUUUACAAGCUGUCAAGCAGGUGGAUGGUAGGUUUAACGUCUUACAGUAGACACGUGAAUUCAGACUGAAAUUCUUGUCCACUUCACCUAGCUCUGCAAGAACGGAAGAGAUUGGGAUAAAGCAGAACUACCCUUGGAAUGCACUUCUAGAUUCAUUCCAAUUUGCUAUUGUUGUUGUUGGGUUUAAUGUGUAAACUGAUCUGCCUGGGCUGCUAUAACAGAAUAGCACAGACCGGGUGGCUUAAGCAACAGACAUUUAGUUUUUCACAGUUCUGGAUGCUGGAAGCCCAUGAUCAAAGUGAUGGAAAUUUGAUUACUGGUGAGGACUCUUUUCCUAGCUUGUAGAUCUUUGCUUUCUUCCUAUGUCCUUACUGGGACUUUCUUCAGCGUGUGUGUGUAGAGAGAAAGUGUACACCCUCUCUGGUGUCUCUUCUUAAAAAUGACACUAAGCCUAUGUCUGUGAGUCUUAGGGUUACCAAAGGGGAAAGGGGGAGAGAAAUUAGGAGUUUGGGAUUAACUGAUACACACUGCUGUAUGUAAAAUCAAUAAACAACAAGAAUCUACUAUGUAGCACAGGGAACUAUAUUCAAUAUGUUGUAGUGACCUAUAAUGAAAAGGAAUCUGAAAAAGAAUAUAUAUGCACAUAUCACUUUGCUGCACACCGAAACUAAUACAACAUUGUACAUCAACUAUACUUCAUCUUUUUUUGAAGGAUACUAAUCCUAACAAAUCAGGGCCCUGCCUUUGUGACUGCAUUUAGCCUUAAUUACCUCAUUAGAGGCCACACUGGAGGUUACAGCUUCAAUGUAUGAAUUUGGAAGGGCACAAACAUUCAGUCUAUAACAAUAGACAAGCCUCAACAGCCCCGACAUGUCCUGGGUUUUUCAGGAGGCUGUCUCAAAAGCCCUAUUAACAUCGUGUCGUGGAUCCACGUUGGUACCUAUAGUCUACAUGUAAAUACACAUGUCCAGAUUAGAGAUAUUUUUUUUUUGUCUUUUUAGGGGUGCACCCAUGGCAUACGGUGGUUCCCAAGUUCAGGGUCCAAUCAGAGCUGUAGCUGCCGGCCACAGCAACAUGGGAUCUGAGCCAAGUCUGCAACCUACAUGGCAGCUCAUGGCAAUGGCAACGCCAGAUCCUUAACCCACUGAGCAAGGCCAGGGAUCGAACCCAAAUCCUCAAGGAGUCCAGUCGAGUUCGUUAACCACUAAACCAUGAUCCACGAUUAGAGUUCUCAAUUUCUACAUGUCAUUACCACCUCCAGACUAUUACUCAGGAACAGGUCCUCUCUGUGGCUCACAGAGUUUCCGGAAAGAGAGGAAAAAAAAAAAAAAGAACUAUUGUACUAUUCCAUGACUCGGAGUUGCAAGCAUGUUCAACUAUGCCUCUUCCUUCACCCUGUCACAGAGUGCAGGUCCCAGUGGAAAUUAAUGAGGAGCCCUACUCUAGAGUUAACUGUACUAAUGUUUUGAAAACACAUAUUUCGAAGAGCAAACUCCCAAUUGACCAAACCGUUAAUACCUGCUUCUCAGAAAAUACCAAUCACGAUAGAAACUGAGGUUUGGUAAUACGCAUUCUGCACUAAAAUAUUGCUAUUCCUUCGGCAAUUAAAGGUGUACACCAACACAAUAAAGUUUUAAGGUGAUUUAAUUCAGUAACACACAGUCUUAUGAAUAAAAAUUAUUGACUUUCACUUAGCCCUAUUUAAUUAUUAAACUCAUUGCUAUAAAAUUAGCUUAUUGAGUUAUUAUUUCAUACAAGACUGAUAUAUAUUUCAGAUCAUUCUCCAUUUUACAAAAUAACUCUUUUCACAUAUUUGUAUCACUUUACAAGUAUUUCUUUAACAUUCAUUGAAUUACUGACUUUUAUAUAUUUAAAGAUUAAUUUUGCUUAGAUAACUUGUGAAGAACAAUUGGAAUUUCUGUUUCUAGAAAUAGUUUGAUUCACAUUAAUUAUAAUAAUGACUUACAUCAAUGUUAAAGAAAAAUAUUGAACAUUAUUUUGCAUUUGUAGUUCCAUUGUGUCUUUAAUGAAUUUCUAAAGUCAUAGUACCUAAAUAGAAUUUCACAAGGUACUGGGACCAUUUAAUAUAGAAAUAAAUUUACUUUUGUAUUGAAUUUUUAUUAAGCGUCUGUGGCUCAAAUUUUAUGUAAGAGAAUUCCUUGAACUAUGGAUUUCCAUGUUUUACAUACUAAAGUGACACCUAUGGAUAGAGAGCAAAUGAAUGUGCUAUUUAUAAUAAUGACUUUGUUUUAGAUAGUUACAUAAUACAUUUAUAUGACUUUAUUAUGUGAGUGGUUUAGAAGUGUCUUGUGUUCCUUUUACUUUGCUUGUUUUUAAGAAACUAUGUGUGUGAGAGUCUGCGUGUGUUCAUGUAUUUUUAUCUUCUCAAGUAUUACCUAAUAGCAUUUCAAGAUAUAUAGUGGUAAAAAUGUGCCUUAUAUUUAGUCAAUUCACAUUUCUUUAUGUAUACUUUAGGAAUAUUUGUUUUAAAAUGAUAUUCAACUUUUUUUGACAUAUUCAAGUAUAGGAAAGAAAAGUUUAGUGAAAGAUAUCGUGGAACAAUUUAUGUGCAAAGAGUUUAGAAGUUAAUUUUGCUUUAUUGACCAAAAUAAAAUGAGGGAACAAAGAUUUACUAGGGUGAAGAUAUUAAUUGGAACAGAAAAUAUAACUCUUUAUUCUGAAAUGCACCUGCAUGUUAACAACAGUUCGAAAAUCUGAAGCACAGAUUUUAAAUGAAUGUACAAUGAAAUUUUAAACUUUUUUAUUCCCCGUAAAAUCAUUUUCAAGGUGAAAUGGAAGUUAAGUACAUUUAAAGACUUUUGGAGCAGAAAAUAGAUUGACUUCAGGUGGUACUGGGUAAACUUUCAGUUUGUAAUGAAAUAGAUAUUCUUUACUAUUCAUGAUAAGGGUGAAUAAAAAUGAAGCACUUAGUUUAAAAAAAUAAACUGGAAAGAAUGUAACACUUUCACUCCUUAGGUUCUUAAGUCAUUUUUUUUUGUUGUUGUUGUUCUUUUGUUCUGUAAUUGAUUGCUAGCACCCCCUUUAACCCACCUUAAAGGGCAGCAGGAAAUUCAUGUUUUCGUUCAUCAGCCCAUCCCUCUGAAAGGCGUUCGAUAUUAAAACAGUUUGCAGGGAGCAAAAGCAGAGGAAACAAGAGGCCCAGCUAGCCUGUAGCAAGGUUAGAAGAUACACUGCAAGAUUGCCUGCAACAUUGCAUCGAGUCUUGUUCCUGUCCAGUAUUUGCAUGGAGAGAUCAAGUUAAUUAGGGUAUGACUGUUCUUCACUUUCUAUGUGACCUUUUAUUCUAUCUGUGGCUCUCUGGUUCAUGCGGUGUCAUAAAGCUAUGGGAAAGUCUUUCUAGCUGUUUGACACAAACUGGAAAAAAUUAAGCAUUGAUAUUUCCUUUUGCCUGAAGGUUUUUACAGCAGCAAAUUACUGCAGCGGCAAAGUUGAUGUUGUGGUAGAUUUGCUGUGGGUGUCAGAAUGUUUCUUUUGUCUUUUUAGCUCCCCGCCUUCCCUGAUGAUCAGGUGCGACCAAGUGAGUUGUGCAGAGAGGUGGGGGUGGGGGAGGGGGUUCAGGAAGAGGUUACAUGGCAGAAUUCCCACGAAUGCUGGCGAAGGAUGAAAAAGAUAAAGAAAUCUUGUUUUUCUGAACUAGAGGAUUCUCUGCAUGACUUCCCCACUGUUGGGGUGAUGAGCUUUCAGGCUAAGAUUUUAUUAACAAUUCAUAUGGAGAUUGAGGGCAGCGGAGGAGCAGAUUCUCACAUAAACUUGAUCUGUCCAUGAAUGCUGUUCUCUGUUUGCCCUGACCCUGCAUGGCUUAAGACACUGCCUGUGAGGCCAGUGUGCCAGACACAAAGAAAGAAAUGAAAAGCAAGCACAUUCCAGGAGUCUGCACAAAAGACCCAGCAGUUUCUAGUCGUCUCCCCAGAGAGGAUCUUAUCUCUGCAUGGCCAAAAACCUCUAGAAUGUUUUCAUUUGUGUACCCAAAGUUUUAAAAUUGACAUGGCCGUUUAUUAGGCAGUAGCCUAUAGCCCUGUUUUCUUAGGUUUUAAAGUUUUGUUCUCAGAACUUGUUGAAACUAGAAAAACAUAUGCAAGGGUGCAUUUUGUGAAGUUUGGCUUUAAAAGUCACUGGCCUUGAAUUGUUUUUACUUUGUUGAUUGGUAGGUACCUUGAAAAAUGAAUCCUUUUCAGCUUUAAGAGAAGCCAGAACAACAUUUUAAAGCUUGACUUGACUUCAUGAUGCCUUAUGACACUGCAACUCUGAAACUUGUGGCAGAGUUAAGGCGUGAGAUGAAAUUGACAUGGGGGCGCAAGCCAGCCACCCCCAUGCUCCUGAGCACAGACAACCUAGCUACAUUAAAGAAAGAAGCAAGUGAAAAGUUUGAGUGAGACAAAAGUGCAAGGGAGUCAGGGACUUUUAACGUUGUAAUAUUUCAGCAAUUAUUGGCAGUUCACUAUUUUAUCUAGAUGCAUUAAAACAGGAUCAUAACAAACUAUCACAAGAUAUUUCUUUGUAAUUUAAUAUACUACAUUUUAUCACCUAACAAAUGCACAUUCCAGGUGUCAGAUAUAUUAAAGUUUGGGGAUAAAUAUUUGAUAAACAUAAUUCGGUUGCUAAAUUACGUUUCCACAGAUUCUUAAAAAUUGGAAAAUCCAGAUACACAGACUCUUGAAUUUUGUGUAUGUGUUUAGCUGUUCAAGUUGUUUCAAACUUUUAUAGUUCAUGAAUUAAAUAGCCAGUAGAGGAAUGCAGGCAAAUGCUAUUAAUUAUGAUAGGCUUUGUUCCUUUCAUUUUAUAAUGGUUUUAUUUCCAUGAAAUUAACUGUUGUACUUAGGCUAAUUGUCAGUAAUUGGUGACAGAAUCACUUCAUUGUUUUUCUAUAGCAUGAUACUAAUUAGGAUCUUUGCAGUAUUGGCUCAGCCAUGUUCUAUAUUCUACC
Molecule: long non-coding RNA, 5047 nt
Filed under: Sus scrofa (pig)
Lineage: Eukaryota; Metazoa; Chordata; Mammalia; Artiodactyla; Suidae
Description: lncRNA (ENSSSCG00035039490.1)
Source: RNAcentral